AAGCUGACAACCUCUAUGUACCUGCAGAAUCCAAAUUGGUAUAUGUCAUUAGGACCAGAGGUGUCAAUGUUGUUAUCUCAAAGCUCUGUAAGGUGUUGCAGCUUCUUCACCUAUACCAGAUCUUCAGUGGCACUUUUGUGCCUCUCAGCAUGCUGAGGGUUGUGGAACUAUAUAUUGCAUGGGCCUCUCCAAACCUAAAGUCAAUAAAUGGAGUAACUGCAAGUGUGGUUAUGGCAAAAUCAAUAAGAAGCAAAUGACCCUGAAAGAUAACUCAUCAAUUGCUCAAUCUCUUGAUUUUUGUAAGCAUGAUAAACACAUAUAUGGAGAAGAAGUAGAAAACUUUGAGAGCCAUUGGUGGACCAAUUGGUUUCCAGACAAAUUGUUCAUUGAAAUGACCUAACAGGUCCAUGACUGCAUUUCUUGGCAAGAUAAUAACAAAGCAGAAAGAAGAUUCAUUUUAAUAUAGCCACAAUAAAAGGCUGGAAAGUCUCUUUUCCUCUGAGGACAGAUGCCUGAAAGCAAAAAUUGUCCUGAAAUAAUCUCUCAAAGAAAUCCAAGAUACGGCUGCUUUGGCUACGAAAGAGUACUUCAGAGCUUUACAAAUGUGAAAGUUUAAAACACUAGAG
RNAcentral lists this long non-coding RNA (626 nucleotides) under Heterocephalus glaber (naked mole-rat). RNAcentral's name for it is "lncRNA (ENSHGLG00000040266.1)". Lineage: Eukaryota; Metazoa; Chordata; Mammalia; Rodentia; Bathyergidae. The record is from RNAcentral.